This 375-nucleotide long non-coding RNA is filed under the name Mytilus galloprovincialis (Mediterranean mussel). The record is from RNAcentral. Lineage: Eukaryota; Metazoa; Mollusca; Bivalvia; Mytilida; Mytilidae.
UAUUGGACUUGGAAGUGUUGUUUUUAUGCCCCACCUACGAUAGUAGAGGGGCAUUAUGUUUUCUGGUCUGUGCGUCCGUUCGUUCGUUCGUCCGUCCGUCUGUUCGUUCGUUCGUUCGUUCGUCUGUUCGUUCGUCCGUCUGUCCCGCUUCAGGUUAAAGUUUUUGGUCAAGGUAGUUUUUGAUGAAGUUGAAGUCCAAUCAACUUGAAACUUAGUACACAUGUUCCUUAUGAUAUGAUCUUUCUAAUUUUAAAGCCAAAUUAAACUUUUGACCCCAAUUUCACGGUCCACUGAACAUAGAAAAUGAAAGUGCAUGUUUCAGGUUAAAGUUUUUGGUCAAGGUAGUUUUUGAUGAAGUUGAAGUCCAAUCAACUU